This 77-nucleotide transfer RNA is filed under the name Ruminococcus bromii. RNAcentral describes it as "tRNA-Arg". It matches the Rfam family "tRNA". Rfam says of the family: Transfer RNA (tRNA) molecules are approximately 80 nucleotides in length. Their secondary structure includes four short double-helical elements and three loops (D, anti-codon, and T loops). Further hydrogen bonds mediate the characteristic L-shaped molecular structure. tRNAs have two regions of fundamental functional importance: the anti-codon, which is responsible for specific mRNA codon recognition, and the 3' end, to which the tRNAs corresponding amino acid is attached (by aminoacyl-tRNA synthetases). tRNAs cope with the degeneracy of the genetic code in two manners: having more than one tRNA (with a specific anti-codon) for a particular amino acid; and 'wobble' base-pairing, i.e. permitting non-standard base-pairing at the 3rd anti-codon position. Lineage: Bacteria; Bacillati; Bacillota; Clostridia; Eubacteriales; Oscillospiraceae. The record is from RNAcentral. RNAcentral also lists the same sequence under 9 other names.
GCGGCAAUAGCUCAGCUGGAUAGAGCAACUGCCUUCUAAGCAGUAGGUCAGGGGUUCGAGUCCCUUUUGCCGCGCCA